GCGGCGUGCCUAACACAUGCAAGUCGAACAAGAAAGGGACUUCGGUCCUGAGUACAGUGGCGCACGGGUGAGUAACACGUGACUAACCUACCCUCGAGUGGGGAAUAACUUCGGGAAACCGAGGCUAAUACCGCAUAAUACCCACGGGUCAAAGGAGCAAUUCGCUUGAGGAGGGGGUCGCGGCCGAUUAGCUAGUUGGCGGGGUAAUGGCCCACCAAGGCAGUGAUCGGUAUCCGGCCUGAGAGGGCGCACGGACACACUGGAACUGAAACACGGUCCAGACUCCUACGGGAGGCAGCAGUGGGGAAUUUUGCGCAAUGGGGGAAACCCUGACGCAGCAACGCCGCGUGGAGGAUGAAGUCUCUUGGGACGUAAACUCCUUUCGAUCGGAACGAUUAUGACGGUACCGGAAGAAGAAGCCCCGGCUAACUUCGUGCCAGCAGCCGCGGUAAUACGAGGGGGGCGAGCGUUGUUCGGAAUUAUUGGGCGUAAAGGGUGCGUAGGCGGUUCGGUAAGUUUGAUGUGAAAUCUUCGGGCUCAACUCGAAGUCUGCAUCGAAAACUGCCGGGCUUGAGUGUGGGAGAGGUGAGUGGAAUUUCCGGUGUAGCGGUGAAAUGCGUAGAUAUCGGAAGGAACACCUGUGGCGAAAGCGGCUCACUGGACCACAACUGACGCUGAUGCACGAAAGCUAGGGGAGCAAACAGGAUUAGAUACCCUGGUAGUCCUAGCCCUAAACGAUGAUCGCUUCGGAUAACGGGGAGGAAGGUGGGGAUGACGUCAAGUCCUCAUGGCCUUUAUGUCCAGGGCUACACACGUGCUACAAUGGCCGGUACAAACCGCCGCAAACCCGCGAGGGGGAGCUAAUCGGAAAAAGCCGGCCUCAGUUCGGAUUGUAGUCUGCAACUCGACUACAUGAAGCUGGAAUCGCUAGUAAUCGCGGAUCAGCAUGCCGCGGUGAAUACGUUCCCGGGCCUUGUACACACCGCCCGUCACAUCACGAAAGUGGGUCGUACUAGAAGCGGGUGAGCCAACCGUAAGGAGGCAGCCUUCCAAGGUGUGAUUCAUGAUUGGGGUGAAGUCGUAACAUGGUAGCCGUAGGAGAACCUGCGGCUGGAUCACCUCCUUUCU
Molecule: ribosomal RNA, 1128 nt
Filed under: uncultured organism
Description: bacterial SSU rRNA
Rfam family: Bacterial small subunit ribosomal RNA
Source: RNAcentral